AAACCCCAACUUCGGGAGGGGUGUAUUUAUUAGAUAAAAAACCAACGCCCUUCGGGGCUUCUUGGUGAUUCAUGAUAACUUCACGGAUCGCAUGGCCUUGCGCCGGCGACGGUUCAUUCAAAUUUCUGCCCUAUCAACUUUCGAUGGUAAGGUAUUGGCUUACCAUGGUUUCAACGGGUAACGGGGAAUUAGGGUUCGAUUCCGGAGAGGGAGCCUGAGAAACGGCUACCACAUCCAAGGAAGGCAGCAGGCGCGCAAAUUACCCAAUCCCGACACGGGGAGGUAGUGACAAUAAAUACUGAUACAGGGCUCUUUUGGGUCUUGUAAUUGGAAUGAGUACAAUUUAAACCUCUUAACGAGGAACAAUUGGAGGGCAAGUCUGGUGCCAGCAGCCGCGGUAAUUCCAGCUCCAAUAGCGUAUAUUAAAGUUGUUGCAGUUAAAAAGCUCGUAGUUGAAACUUGGGCCUGGCUGGCAGGUCCGCCUCACCGCGUGUACUUGUCCGGCCGGGCCUUUCCUUCUGGAGAACCUCAUGCCCUUCACUGGGUGUGUUGGGGAACCAGGACUUUUACUUUGAAAAAAUUAGAGUGUUCAAAGCAGGCCUUUGCUCGAAUACGUUAGCAUGGAAUAAUAGAAUAGGACGUGCGGUCCUAUUUUGUUGGUUUCUAGGACCGCCGUAAUGAUUAAUAGGGACAGUCGGGGGCAUCAGUAUUCAAUUGUCAGAGGUGAAAUUCUUGGAUUUAUUGAAGACUAACUACUGCGAAAGCAUUUGCCAAGGAUGUUUUCAUUAAUCAGUGAACGAAAGUUAGGGGAUCGAAGACGAUCAGAUACCGUCGUAGUCUUAACCGUAAACUAUGCCGACUAGGGAUCGGGCGAUGUUCUUUUUCUGACUCGCUCGGCACCUUACGAGAAAUCAAAG
Molecule: ribosomal RNA, 917 nt
Filed under: Ascochyta medicaginicola
Lineage: Eukaryota; Fungi; Ascomycota; Dothideomycetes; Pleosporales; Didymellaceae
Description: SSU rRNA
Rfam family: Eukaryotic small subunit ribosomal RNA
Source: RNAcentral